UACGAAGGGGGCUAGCGUUGUUCGGAAUCACUGGGCGUAAAGGGCGCGUAGGCGGCUAUUCAAGUCGGGGGUGAAAGCCUGUGGCUCAACCACAGAAUUGCCUUCGAUACUGUUUGGCUUGAGACCGGAAGAGGUAAGUGGAACUGCGAGUGUAGAGGUGAAAUUCGUAGAUAUUCGCAAGAACACCAGUGGCGAAGGCGGCUUACUGGUCCGGUUCUGACGCUGAGGCGCGAAAGCGUGGGGAGCAAACAGG
Molecule: ribosomal RNA, 253 nt
Filed under: uncultured bacterium
Lineage: Bacteria
Description: partial 16S ribosomal RNA
Rfam family: Bacterial small subunit ribosomal RNA
Source: RNAcentral